GACGAUCGACGUAACAGCGAGCGAGUUCAGUGACACCGGGAUAACCGAGUUCGCUGGUUAAUCCCGAGGCGAAAGCCGAUGAAUCAUUUCGUGGUCUGCGAGUGGCCGGGUCCGCGCGUUUCGCGAGAGCGAUACGGCGGAGAAUCGUCGUCACCACAGAGCCAUUACCGCUCUUUUCAGCCAACUAUCGACAGCACCUUCGUAAAUCGUCGCCUCAUUCCUUUGUCUCGCACUUGUCGCUUAAAUAACACCACGACACGUCUCGACGUCUCCAGCGUGUUGACGAGUUCCAACGUGAGUUCAGCAUGAACAAAUCGCGUCGAGUCUCUCCGUCCUUCCUGUGAUUUAUAUUCGAUAACAAGAUCAUUUGGGUGCAAAUGGACGAUCCGUGGAUGAGAUUCGCGCGGAUGUCGGAUACGGGAAGCUCACGCGAUCUGAAACAGCUGGCGCUCUUUCGUGUCAGAUUUUAAGGAGACGGCCGGAGGAAAACCAGACAUCUGCGCGCGUAUCAAUCUUCCGUCUUAUCUCCGAAGGAAUAGGCCCGCGUUAUUCCGUUUCUCAGCAAUGCGAGAAGCCGUAAAUUAAUUCCGAAAUAAAUCUCCGGACAUAAAUCGUCCUAUCACGGAGAACGGGAGAUCGGGCCUCUAUAAAUGCGAGUUCAAGGGAAAUCUUUGCGGAAGGUCAGGGCUCCGGAUCAGUAUCCGAGAUUCUACGGACAUGAUCUACGCAAGCUCGUCGGCCGAUAUCGAACGAUAUCGUGCGAAUUCCGAAAGUGCACCCUGCGACUCUCCCCGAGUCGAAAUUUUGAUGCUACUUUGAUGCUCUUAAGGAUAAUUUACACCAAACUGAUAAAAACCUACAACGAUAUUAAUACUCAUUAACUUCUCCCUUGAACUUUCAAUUCUACAGAUUUCGUUUUAACGCUGCCUCGAACAAUCUAUUUUAACGCUAAAACAACGAAAACGAAAAUUUAAGACGUCAAGCUCAAAGUAGGGGUAAAUUAUAUUAUUAGAAUUGUGAAAUAUAUAUUAAAUUUAUUCAUCACCCUGGAAAAGUGAACUGUGAUGUUUACGAAAUGUCGGAAACAAAUCCGUGAAGGUCUAACAGCGCUAACUCGUAAGGCGAAUCAAAUAUCAAAUAAUCAAUAAUGACACGAAGGAUAUAUGAAAUAAAUAUGAGCAAUUCUGACAUGAGGGAAAAACAAUGAGUCAAAACAGUAAAUUGUUCUCGACUCACUGCGUGAUAUAAAUUUUAGGCAAAUAUAUUGUAAAUCCCUACACUGAAUCAAUUGUGCGCUACAUUUUGAAUAUAUAAAUUUUUUUAUAUAUAAUACUCAUCAACUCAUUAUAUUGAAUAAAUUAACUGAUUUUAGGUGCAUUUUCACAUCAUUAUCGUAAUCCACGAAUACGAUUAUACAAUAUCAGUCUGAUCGGUCAUAAGAGAUUCAACGUUGCUGAAUUUUGUGACUUCAUGUACGUUCAAGUUACUGUCAAGUUCACGUACACCCGCUUAGGUCAGGGGAGACCGACAUGCAGGCGGAUUGUUACGCGAGUGCAAGAAACCGCGGCUAUAACGCUCCGCGGUGGCGAGCGCGCGCGCGCGCGAUCGUGUCUAUCGGUUGACCUCACGUAUGCUAAUUGUCGCGGUUUUAUCUGCACGCGAGCUCACCGUCGCCGUAAUGUCAGUUAGCGUCUGCGAAAUAGAACGCCGGCGGGAUUGCGCGAGGAAUCUCGCUAGAAGCCGCUCGUGCCCGCUAAAUAACUCAAUCGCCGGUUCCUCGAGAGUUCGGUCGGCCUUCGUUGGGUGCGGUUUCCGAGAGGAAACGCGCCCGAUGAAUUGUCGACACGCGGCCGCAGGACACACACUUUAAUUAAUUAAAUUCUACGAAUUAGCAGGAUUAUAUAGACGGGAGGAGAAAACAAGGUGUGUCGCGCGAUCGGAGAUGACGUCGAAUCCUCGGUGAAAGUGAAUUAAUAAUUAAAUUAGAUCACGCGUCUCGGGUAAAUUAAAUGGGACGGGAUGAAAUGAGACUAACUUUAAUUGAAGUAGAUCGAGCUGUCACGUCGUACGUUGUGCGUUAGCGUUAAAAAGGAAAGUUAAGCCGAGAAAUAGAACUCCCUUCGCGUUCGCUCUGCAUGCGCAGAGUUAGAUAAACGCGCGCGCGUAAAGUUCAUGCACACGUUUCAGAUUUCAAUCUUGCGAUGAUAAUUAACGACUGCUAUCUAGAUAAAUCUCUGUCUUUUUCUGAAAGAUAGCGCGGAGAAAUUCUUCUGUUGUCUUUGGAUCUCUAGCGGGGCAUUGCCGAUCGAUCGGCCGAGGGUUGCAACGAUCCUGCUCUUUCUCUGUUAGCGAGCGCUUCCGUAUCGUUAACAGCUGGGAAAAUCGCGCGAGACUGUCGACCCAGUUGCGGAACAGUAUCGCAGCCGGGAUCUAAUUGCAAGCGUGGCGCGGGGGGGAACGAGGGAGAAAGCGCAGAGUAAUUGCGAGCGCCGUUACAAACGAUGACCGGAAGUCGCGAUCGGAGAUCGUAGCCGAAAGAAAUCUUCUCACCGACGGGAUUUUAUCGGCGGUCUUGGUGCUCUCUGUUUAUAACGCUUGCAAUUCUUGGCCUGCGAAAAGCCAAAGAUCGGCAGCGAGAGAAGAGAAAACGCUAAACUCAACGCCCGGAACGAAGUUUUCGGCAAUGUCAGGCAUGUUGCAUUCGGAUCGUCCGUCUUUAAGAAUUCGGCGACUCUCUCAGUUUUCUACUUUAGCGGCGCGAUUGAUCGCAGUUACAACGGCGAUGACAACGAGAACGACGCAACGAAGCGGCCGGUGCAACCGAAACGUUGUAAGCAGCGCGUCACGCAACGUGAACGCGAGGUCGCUGCCAAGGCCGUCAGGUGUACCAUUAUCGACCGCGACCACCACCACCGUCGUCGCUGCCGCCACCACCACCAUCCGGGGGUGUCAGGCUGGAUCGUCGGCGUCAGGGAUCGCGAUUCCCUUCGCAGUGGUCAGCCGCCGAUCGUCGCGAGGUAGUCCUGACCGUCCCCGUCGGACGUGGGUUGAACCUUCCCGUGGUGGGGAGGAUGGCUGACCGUGGCGGUGGUAGCGGCGGUGGCGACGGUGGCAGCGUCGGCUCGUGGUUCGCCCAUGGCAGAACCAGGCAGCCGGGAGAUGCAGCGUCCCGACGACGAGAGGAUCUCCCACCCCACCACCAGCCUGUGGCGCGAGUUCCUCGUUCCACGGCCUCUACGAGGUGUCCGUCGUCCGCCGAAUUACGAGGGAAAAAUGAUAAGGGGUAGUCGGAGACGGUGGUGAAAGCGAAACGGGACGAUCGCCGGCUCACCGUCAUCCUACCCCGUGUGACUUCCCUCGGGGAUCGAGCAGCGGACUGUACGGGAUGAUCGCGUCGACUUUUUCGGCGCUCGAAUUUGGCCCACAGAAUCCUGGCGGAAUGAAUGUGUGUACGGCGUUCCCCGAAGGAUACGUGGAUAAUGAGCGAGCGCAGCGUCAUGCAUCAGCGAUGACGACUAAAGAAGAAGGAGAGUACGAUCUGGAACGAUAUCGACGCAGGCUGACUGACUGGGCUCUCUCGCUUGCGCAACAAUGCGCAACGACAUUCCAUCCGAUGCGUUACACGGGCGAGAGGAAGCCGAGGGAGUCUCGCGGAAAAUCCCGUGGCCGGUAUCGGGAGAAUGUUGCAGCCGCCACGUGGGAAAAGAGGAAAAUAAAAUGAAGAGGAGGUAAAAUACAGGAGGUAAGAAAUUUCGUGGGUGCGCGAGGGUGGGGAGGGAGGUGCGCUUACGCUAGCGGCUACGUGCGAGCGAAGUGCCGGUGAGUGACGCAUACGUAUGUGUGCGUCCUGACGAUCUAAACAGCGGAUCUCCUCGGCAAACACAUAAAUAAAUAAAUAAAUCGCCAUCUCGCCGUCUCUCCCCGUAAGAUAUGGAUUCGACGCAACAGCAACGAGUCUGAUUCGUCGCGUUCGUUGCAAAACCUCCUCCGACGCGUCCCCGGACGCGUCUCGUUUCAUUCGUUCGCCUUCGAUUCGUCGUGGGAACACCUUGUGGGGUCGAAUGAAGGGAAGAGAAAAGAUCGAGCGGGAGCGAGAGAACAUUUUUGAGAGUUUCUUUUCACCCCGGCGGUAUAUUAGUCUCGCGAAAUAGCGCUCGCAGGAUAUCGUUACGUUUGGACUCGUUCGGUAUUGCGGCAUCGCGGAAUUCCCCCGUGGAAUCCUCGUCAUUGAAGAGGGAGAGAGAGAGAGGGAGAGAACACACUCUUCCUCUUUAUCUCUCUCUCUCGCCGGUAAUUCUCCUAAACCGACCUGUAUGUCGCGUCGCCUGCGGAAUCCAACAAUUAAACGAACCGAAGAUUCGAAUCCCGGCGCUGUCUUUGAUUUUUCCAAGAGAUACCUAACGUCCCACACCUACGCUGCUCCGCUUCGGAAUCUACUUAAGACCGGAACUUCCGGGUUAAUCGUCUUAUCGUGGCCGUAAGGUGAUCACGAUGAGCUCUUCUCUGUCUCUCUCCUCUCUUUUUCCUUUCUGUCCAUGAACCCGUCCUUUUUUUUUCUACGCCGGGAUAUAAAAGCAGAUUUACGCGCGCGAUACGACGUCGAAGGCGCAAUGCUAAGCGGAGGUAUGCGUGUCGUAAUUUCGCACGGAUUCUUCGAGCGCACGUCGCACUUUCCCCUUUAUUGCGUCCGCAAUGUAAUCUUUCGUUUAAUCCUGCGGACUCCCCGAAGCGCCGUGACGCGCGUUCGCGACAAGAAGAAUGGAAGAACGAGGUCACCGCCUCGAGAGGAAAGACCUUGCAGAGAGUCACCGAGUGUCGGUGACAAUAGACAAGACGCGCCGCCGGGCGUAUCGCGUGACAGUCUGGCGAGGCAUCGGGUCUGCCAUGCCAGACCGGGGUUAUUACUACCUUGCGAUAAAGAGGAUCACAUUGGUACCGCUUAGUUAGAAGACUUAUUGCUCGAGUGAAAAGAUUUAUCGUCGAGUCGCGUACCGUGGUCGUUGGCUAGACCGGCAGAUUUCUAACACGAUUCGCAGUACGAAACCGGAAAACCGGCAAACACCGUAUGUCGUGGGUAAUAAAUCUGUGAAAAACUUAUCUUCUUUAAAAAGAAGGUAAAAAAAGCACCAAGGGUACGCGCUUCGUACAAAUAAAACCGGCAAAAACUAACGAGACUCAAUUUAACAAAAGCUAAUAACAUUGCGGAAAUAAUGACAACCGAAAUUUAAUUUAA
Dinoponera quadriceps is the source of this 5233-nucleotide long non-coding RNA. RefSeq lists it as uncharacterized. The record is from RefSeq and is a predicted model, not a curated record. NCBI's taxonomy places the organism in Eukaryota, Metazoa, Arthropoda, Insecta, Hymenoptera, Formicidae. The transcript has 4 exons.